GAGGCAUAGUGACAGCAACAAAAUGUGUUAUUUAAGUAACAUCAGCUCUCCUGGCUGAUGUCUCGUCAUUUUUACCAUGAGUGAACAACAAAACAUUUAAUUUAAUUUAUUAUGACAACUGUUCAGUUUUUUACCAGAACAUUUUGGAAUGACCUAGAAGGAUUAUAACCAACCAACUCCUCGACGAUAGUGAUUCAUAUCCAUACAACGACUGCGGAUGUGCACAUAACCCGCCCCAUAUCGGACUUUAACUUGAUUUAUGAGGAGCCUUCUGAAGAGGAUGUCACCUACACAACAGUGUACAUCAACACCAAGCACAACAGAAACAUGAAGUAGUUGAGAUGGUGUGAAGUGGAACCUCUCACAACUGAGCCUGAGAGUAUGCUGACCACCACUAGAGGGCAGACUGGAACAUGAAUCCCUGACCCUGUGCACAAGUACAAGCCAGGCAAAAAAAAAAACAUACCGUAUCAGAAAUACACACUAAUCAAUGGCCCCACAGUGGAACUUCAAUUCUUACAGAUUAUAUUUUGAGACAUUGUUGCUUUGUGUACAUAAACUUUCCCCCCAAUGUAUUUUACCUAGUCUUAUGCAGUUGGAAAUGCAUUUUACAG
Molecule: long non-coding RNA, 614 nt
Organism: Esox lucius (northern pike)
Lineage: Eukaryota; Metazoa; Chordata; Actinopteri; Esociformes; Esocidae
Source: Ensembl